RNAcentral lists this long non-coding RNA (825 nucleotides) under Homo sapiens (human). Its description in RNAcentral is "HSALNT0131500". Lineage: Eukaryota; Metazoa; Chordata; Mammalia; Primates; Hominidae. The record is from RNAcentral.
GCUGUUCUCAUGACCAUCCGCUCACGCUGUUGGAUUCGUGCAUCUCUGGGUUAGUCGUCAUGUUCCUAUUAAUUUGCCUCUAGUAGUUCCUCAUUAGAACAUUUUAUGAUAUAUAAAGAUUGGGGGUUUGGGGUUUUUUUUUUUGAGACAGGGUCUUGCCAUGUUGCUCAGGCUGGAGACUGGGGAGUUUUGACUGAAAGUAUCUGAUGACCUUGUCAGUGGCUGUUGGUUGUCACGAAUUGCUUAAAAAUACAUAAAUCUUCAUAAUAAAGCUAUUCUGAUUCUUCAUUUAAAACAUCCUGGUAUAGUUUGUAUAAUUAGUUGUAAUAAGAUUUUAAAGAUCCUGUAAUCCCAGCUACUUAGAAGGCUGAGACAGGAGGAUCACUUUAGCCCAGUAGUUCAAGACCAGCCUGGGCAACAUACUGAGACCCCCAUCUCAUUUAAAAAGAAAAAAAAAAUCUUUAAAUGUACCUGUGUAGUUUUAUGAGGUACUUCUAAACAAUGUAAUGUUAAUACAUAUUCUUUUAUUUGCUUCAAACUAGGAUGAAAUACAGGGAGAACAUGGUUCCUUUUAGGAUUCUGAUAAUUAGGGUUUUAUUUUCUAAACUAGAGUUUCUAGUUGGAGUGGAAGUCCUGAGUUCCCUUUGCCUCUCUGUGGCCUUGCCGUUUUGCCGAAAACCUCCCAUCUCCCUAGUCACCCUUGGUCUCUAAAAGGGCUCUUUUGAGGAGAACUCUUAUUCUCUAGUCAGCGGGUCUAGCUUAUCCUUUGUACUCGAAGGACUUCGUUUAUUUUUCCUCUGGUUGACUUCAUGUGUUGAAAAUUUU